Molecule: small RNA, 108 nt
Filed under: Marmota monax (woodchuck)
Lineage: Eukaryota; Metazoa; Chordata; Mammalia; Rodentia; Sciuridae
Source: RNAcentral
GCUGGGCAUGAUGGUGGCGCAUGCCUGUAAUCCCAGGGGCUUGGGAGGCUGAGACAGGAGGAUCAUGAGUUCAAAGCCAGCCUCAGCAACCCAGGGACCCUGUCUCUA